AUGGUGACUGAAGGUUCACGCACUCCGUCGCCGGGUCUCCGCCGUGUCUCGGCCUCGCCGGUGGUGCGCCGAGGCCGGAGCCCGACGCGGCGUGGCUGCCGCGAGGUGGUGGGGCAGCAGGAGGUCGUCCACCAGGCCAGCAGCACCGUCGUCUACCCGCUGCUGACGGCAACGAACUACUUCGAGUGGUCGCUGAUAAUGAAGGUGAACAUGGAGGCCCAACGCGUGUGGGACGCCAUCAAGGGAUGCGGGAGCUUCAGCCAGGACAGGGCGGCGCUGGCGGCAAUUCUGCGAGCCGUGCUAGAGGAGAUGCACUCCACGCUUGCCGUGAAGGCGAUGACAAAGGAGGCAUGGGAUGCCAUCAAGAUCAUGCGGGUCGGCGAUGCCCGCGUCCGUGAGGCCAAGGCGCAGACUCUCCUCAAGGAGAUUGAUGUCGUCCGCAUAAGGAGCGGCGAGACCCUCGAUGAGCUCGCCAUGCGCAUGAACGGGAUCGCCAACAAGCUGCGCACGCUCGGCGAGAACCUCGACGAGGUGAAGGUUGUGAAGAAGCUUCUUCGCAUCAUGCCGUCCAAGUAUACCCUGGUAGCUAUUGCCAUUGAACAACUUCUUGAUCUUAAAACCAUGUCCAUGGAAGAGCUUGUGGGAAGGCUCAAAACGGCGGAGGACCGGAGCGACUUGGACGAGAGCGCCAACAACUACGACCAAGGUGGUGGGAGUCGCCUGCUCCUCACGGAGGAGGAGUGGCUUGCUCGCAACCGCAUCGGCGCCGGCAAGAAGAAGCGCAACUUCGACAUACGCAAGGUGCGUUGCUACAACUGUCAAGAGUAUGGACAUUACUCCAAGGACUGCACCGAGCCAAGGAAACAGCGGGCGCUUCUUGCUGCCGCGACGGCCGACGACGAGCCGGGGCUGCUGUGA
This 918-nucleotide ribosomal RNA is filed under the name Triticum aestivum (bread wheat). Its description in RNAcentral is "partial small subunit ribosomal RNA". The record is from RNAcentral. Lineage: Eukaryota; Viridiplantae; Streptophyta; Magnoliopsida; Poales; Poaceae.